Molecule: long non-coding RNA, 212 nt
Filed under: Brassica napus (rape)
Lineage: Eukaryota; Viridiplantae; Streptophyta; Magnoliopsida; Brassicales; Brassicaceae
Description: long non-coding RNA (BNAP_LNC013196)
Source: RNAcentral
GGUCGUUGAUUCUCGGUCCAUGCUUCACGGCGUAGCUCUAUGGGGUCAAAUCCAAGGCCGUGACAACCCAAGCCUUCCUUUGUUGCCUCCAUUAGGAGGUGGUUUUUUUAGUUAGAAGGAGAGUUGGCGGUGUUGGGGUUUUCCGCUACAUCUUGGGUCCACCGGUUCUCCCCUCCUUGCUUAUGCAUGCUUUGAGGAUGGCGGGCGGAGCG